AUUGAACGCUGGCGGCAGGCCUAACACAUGCAAGUCGAGCGAGCGGCGGACGGGUGAGUAAUGUCUGGGAAACUGCCUGAUAGAGGGGGAUAACUACUGGAAACGGUCGCUAAUACCGCAUAACAUCAGAUGAGCCCAUAGGGGAUUAGCUAGUAGGUGGGGUAAUGGCUCACCUAGGCGACGAUCCCUAGCUGGUCUGAGAGGAUUACCAGCCACACUGGAACUGAGACACGGUCCAGACUCCUACGGGAGGCAGCAGUGGGGAAUAUUGCACAAUGGGCGCAAGCCUGAUGCAGCCAUGCCGCGUGUGUGAAGAAGGCCUUCGGGUUGUAAAGCACUUUCAGCGGGGAGGCGUUACCCGCAGAAGAAGCACCGGCUAACUCCGUGCCAGCAGCCGCGGUAAUAC
RNAcentral lists this ribosomal RNA (406 nucleotides) under uncultured bacterium. RNAcentral describes it as "partial 16S ribosomal RNA". It matches the Rfam family "Bacterial small subunit ribosomal RNA", at positions 30 to 526 of the family's 1533-position model. The record is from RNAcentral.